RNAcentral lists this ribosomal RNA (492 nucleotides) under uncultured bacterium. Its description in RNAcentral is "partial 16S ribosomal RNA". It matches the Rfam family "Bacterial small subunit ribosomal RNA", at positions 29 to 507 of the family's 1533-position model. The record is from RNAcentral.
AGUGAACGCUGGCGGUAGGCCUAACACAUGCAAGUCGAACGGCAGCACAGUAAGAGCUUGCUCUUACGGGUGGCGAGUGGCGGACGGGUGAGGAAUACAUCGGAAUCUACUUUUUCGUGGGGGAUAACGUAGGGAAACUUACGCCAAUACCGCAUACGACCUACGGGUGAAAGCAGGGGAUCUUCGGACCUUGCGCGAUUGAAUGAGCCGAUGUCGGAUUAGCUAGUUGGCGGGGUAAAGGCCCACCAAGGCGACGAUCCGUAGCUGGUCUGAGAGGAUGAUCAGCCACACUGGAACUGAGACACGGUCCAGACUCCUACGGGAGGCAGCAGUGGGGAAUAUUGGACAAUGGGCGCAAGCCUGAUCCAGCCACACCGCGUGGGUGAAGAAGGCCUUCGGGUUGUAAAGCCCUUUUGUUGGGAAAGAAAAGCAGCAGGUUAAUACCCCGCUGUUCUGACGGUACCCAAAGAAUAAGCACCGGCUAACUUCGUG